UUUCGCAAUGCCCGAAAGGGUGACGAAGCGACGCCGCGUGAGUGAGGAAGGCCUUCGGGUUGUAAAGCUCUGUCAGGAGUUAAGAAAUAUAAGUGUGUUAAUACCACAUUUAUUUGACGAAGGCUCCAAAGGAAGCCACGGCUAACUCUGUGCCAGCAGCCGCGGUAAUACAGAGGUGGCAAGCGUUGUUCGGAAUUAUUGGGCGUAAAGAGCACGUAGGUGGGUUUGUAAGUCAGAUGUGAAAGCCUUCUGUUCAACGGAAGAAUUGCAUCUGAAACUGCGAGUCUUGAGUGUAGGAGGGGAGAAUGGAACUUCUGGUGGAGCGGUGAAAUGCGUAGAUAUCAGAAGGAACGCCGGCGGCGAAAGCGAUUCCCUGGCCUAUUACUGACACUCGGUGUGCGAAAGCUAGGGGAGCAAACGGGAUUAGAUACCCCGGUAGUCCUAGCUGUAAACGAUGGGCACUAAGUAGAGGGGUUUUA
Molecule: ribosomal RNA, 479 nt
Filed under: uncultured anaerobic ammonium-oxidizing bacterium
Lineage: Bacteria
Description: bacterial SSU rRNA
Rfam family: Bacterial small subunit ribosomal RNA
Source: RNAcentral